RNAcentral lists this ribosomal RNA (578 nucleotides) under Scedosporium boydii. Its description in RNAcentral is "eukaryotic LSU rRNA". The stretch from base 157 to 310 matches the Rfam family "5.8S ribosomal RNA". Lineage: Eukaryota; Fungi; Ascomycota; Sordariomycetes; Microascales; Microascaceae. The record is from RNAcentral.
CUCCAACCCAUUGUGACCUUACCUAUGUUCUGUUGCCUCGGCGGCGUGGUCAGCGCCCCUCUGAAAAGAGGACGAUGCCCUCCCGCCGGCAGCACCAAACUCUUUGAAUUUUACAGCGGAUUACAGUUCUGAUUUGAAAACAAAAAAACAAGUUAAAACUUUCAACAACGGAUCUCUUGGUUCUGGCAUCGAUGAAGAACGCAGCGAAAUGCGAUAAGUAAUGUGAAUUGCAGAAUUCAGUGAAUCAUCGAAUCUUUGAACGCACAUUGCGCCCGGCAGUAAUCUGCCGGGCAUGCCUGUCCGAGCGUCAUUUCAACCCUCGAACCUCCGUUUCCUCAGGGAAGCUCAGGGUCGGUGUUGGGGCGCUACGGCGAGUCUUCGCGACCCUCCGUAGGCCCUGAAAUACAGUGGCGGUCCCGCCGCGGUUGCCUUCUGCGUAGUAAGUCUCUUUUGCAAGCUCGCAUUGGGUCCCGGCGGAGGCCUGCCGUCAAACCACCUAUAACUCCAGAUGGUUUGACCUCGGAUCAGGUAGGGUUACCCGCUGAACUUAAGCAUAUCAAUAAGCGGAGGGAAAAGAA